This 821-nucleotide long non-coding RNA is filed under the name Olea europaea (common olive). RNAcentral's name for it is "long non-coding RNA (OEUR_LNC007240)". The record is from RNAcentral. Lineage: Eukaryota; Viridiplantae; Streptophyta; Magnoliopsida; Lamiales; Oleaceae.
AAUUUUUCUCUUGAUAUACCCAGCAAGUUCAACCCAGCGAGUCAGAGACAGAGCCCUGGAUUUUUCCCCAAAUCGGCACCACGCACGCUGCACGCCUGCACGCACCAGUCUACCUUCACUCGUCUGCCGACUACGCCACUACCACAAAGGGCAGACGCUCGCAGAUCGCAGUAACCAACAGACGACACUGCCACCGUGAGAGUCAAGAGGAGCAGGCGAGCGUCGAGCAGCACUCCAAUCCAAGCGUCCAGCAGGCGGCCUGCACUCAGUCUCCGCACCGCAGCCAGCAAGCUUUCCUUCUCAUGUCAAACUACCGGUUUUGAGGUUAAGCAAUUAGCAAACCCUUUGUGAAUUGUGACUUGUGAGUUCUUGUUCUUCCCCAGUUCCCCAAUUCCUUCUCGGCACAGUGUCAGUAUUCGGUCCUAAAUUUAAUGUUUAACUUGAUACAAUGAUAUUAAUAUGUAAAUUUGAGGAUAUGUGUUUUGAGUUUUGAACUGGAUGUCUGGAUCGGAGAAGGGAGAACAAUUCUCAAUUUCUUAUCUUAAAGUUGAAUCACUUAUUUAUUAGUCAUUACUUCAAAAAUUAGGAAUUAGACUAUUAGAGCAUAAACACCAUCUGUUAGAGGCUAUUACGGGAUGGAGGGAUCUGCAAAUAAGGUGUAAUUUAGGAUAAUUCGCUGGUGAUUUCUGUGCUUUAUUCCGAAAGCCGAAAGGAUUCCUACUUUCAUGCGGGGAUUAAUUGCUUUCCAUUUAAAUAACAACUCCUAAAAUUAUGGGGCUUUAUUUCAAAAUACAUAGAUGUGAUUUAGGCAUUUAGCUUAG